This is a long non-coding RNA of Populus euphratica (Euphrates poplar), 785 nucleotides long. RefSeq lists it as uncharacterized. NCBI's taxonomy places the organism in Eukaryota, Viridiplantae, Streptophyta, Magnoliopsida, Malpighiales, Salicaceae. The record is from RefSeq and is a predicted model, not a curated record. The transcript is spliced from 3 exons.
GUCUUUGCUCGUGAUGAUGCCAUCUACCUGUAGCUUCUGAAGAAUAUUUCAAUCUAUGCUGCGAUCGGUGCCUCCAUGGAUCAGAACUUGAGGAAGGUCUGUUUCCAUAAUCUCCCCAUCUUCCUGUUCCUCAUUGACAUCCCCAUCGGCAAAUAUUGUGAUCCCUGAUGGCUGGUCCUCGUCAUCGGGAUCUGCAAUGCGAGCAUAAAGAGAUUAUGAUGGCAAAAAUACUUGUGAAUAAAUAAAAGCUGCCAAAAACAAUGACUUCAGUUAUUGGGGAUGGCAGCAACAAGGACAACAAAACAACCUCCACCACCAAUAACAUGUGGCAAUUUGUAGCUUAUCAAAUGGAAACAAAACCGCAAAUGUAGUUAAGCGUAACCUGGAACUAUCAUGAUGUUCUGUAGUCUCUUCUUGUAUGUGGGAGGUGAUUACCUCAAGCAUCAUUUCUAACAUGCUCAAUAAUCUCUACUGGAGUCCUAACUGCCUUUAAUAUGCAUGGCCUCAAGUUCAGGGAAAACAAAGGUUUGAUCUACAUUUACAGUAGCAGAGACAUUAAAUCUAAUUGGCUUGGAAUAUGGUUAUUGCCUCCACUGAAAAUUCAGGUACUUGUCGGACCAAAAUCUCCAAAGAGCAAGAAGAUGGAUAGUGAUAGCUUUCUCUGACCUCAGGUAAAUUGGUACUCACUGUGCACUAGCAUCAGCCUAUCAGCUUAGGUGAACUAUGCAACAGCUGCAACGAAGCCUCAAUCCAAAAACUAGCUGAGGAUCAAAGGAAAAAAAGAA